CCUACGGGAGGCAGCAGUGAGGAAUAUUGGUCAAUGGGCACUAGCCUGAACCAGCCAAGUAGCGUGAAGGAUGACUGCCCUAUGGGUUGUAAACUUCUUUUAUAUGGGAAUAAAGUGCAGUAUGUAUACUGCUUUGCAUGUACAUUAUGAAUAAGGAUCGGCUAACUCCGUGCCAGCAGCCGCGGUAAGACGGAGGAUCCGAGCGUUAUCCGGAUGUAUAGGGUUGAAAGGGAGCGUAGGCGGGUUGUUAAGUCAGUGGUGAAAGGUUGCGGCUCAAACGUAAAAUUGCAGUUGAUACUGGCAUCCUUGAUUACAGUAUAGGUAGGCGGAAUUCGUGGUGUAGCGGU
This 347-nucleotide ribosomal RNA is filed under the name uncultured bacterium. RNAcentral describes it as "partial 16S ribosomal RNA". It matches the Rfam family "Bacterial small subunit ribosomal RNA", at positions 338 to 682 of the family's 1533-position model. The record is from RNAcentral.